This 865-nucleotide long non-coding RNA is filed under the name Gallus gallus (chicken). Lineage: Eukaryota; Metazoa; Chordata; Aves; Galliformes; Phasianidae. The record is from RNAcentral.
AAAAAGUAUAGAAGUACCGGCUAAGGUGCCAACUGUUCACUUUCAAGGAGGAUUUACCAUAAAAUUCCAUGAUAAGAGCAAGCUUAAGCUCUCUAAAUAAAACAGAUUUUUAAUGGACUUCUGAGACCUGAUGUAAAAAGGAUGGGUGGAUCCCAGGAGAAACAAAAUGCUUGCAUGUAUAAGAGAUAUCUGCCAGAAAUACAUGGAUGACCAGUUACUACAGCAGCAGCAGAAUGUGCCUGCUAUGGCUACUACUUCUAAAACAAAACAAAAGGAAACAGCAGAAAUAAAAAACCAGUCACUGGCAAGAAUAUCUCCUUGCUGUAAAUUGGAUAGGUUUUAAAAAAUUGACAGCACUGUUCCUUCUGUUCUGAACAGGAGAUCUCCAGGUCCAGAACAACUCAUCAUAAAGAUAUCUUCCUUAAUUAGAGUAGAAGUCACAUAUUUUGGGUCCACAUGAAGGUAAUAAGUGGUAGCAGUUAUAUGAAAUUAGAGGCAGGUGUGGUUACUAACAAAAGCAGAAGUAAAAACAAGUAACAUGCCAGGUGCUGAAGAAACUCCCAGAUAGGAAGUUUUGCGUACACUGUGAGCCCAAAUCUAAUCUGAUCUGAAGCUGAAAUUUGACUGCUAGUCCAAACCAUAUAUGUUUUUGCAUUUUGAAUGCAGGGAGAUUGUAAGUAUAUGCUUACUUCUGAGAGUAGUCCUCCAGAGAUUUGCUUUGUUUCCUUAUAGAAUAAUGAAGGUAAGUCAGCAUAUUGCCCAUAAAGUGAUUUUUUUUUUUUUUUUAAACAACUACUGACAUCAUAAUUUGGCAAAUUGAUCUUAAAAAGAUUAAGUAGCUAUGCUGUGGUAAAAUAAAACAUCC